RNAcentral lists this ribosomal RNA (465 nucleotides) under uncultured bacterium. RNAcentral describes it as "partial 16S ribosomal RNA". It matches the Rfam family "Bacterial small subunit ribosomal RNA", at positions 28 to 507 of the family's 1533-position model. The record is from RNAcentral.
GACGAACGCUGGCGGCGUGCUUAACACAUGCAAGUCGAACGGAAAGGCCCUGCUUGCAGGGUACUCGAGUGGCGAACGGGUGAGUAACACGUGGGUUAUCUGCCCUGCACUUCGGGAUAAGCCUGGGAAACUGGGUCUAAUACCGGAUAGGAGCCAUUUUUAGUGUGAUGGUUGGAAAGUUUUUUCGGUGUAGGAUGAGCUCGCGGCCUAUCAGCUUGUUGGUGGGGUAAUGGCCUACCAAGGCGGCGACGGGUAGCCGGCCUGAGAGGGUGGACAGCCACAGUGGGACUGAGAGACGGCCCGGACUCCUACGGGAGGCAGCAGGGGGGAAUAUUGCACAAUGGGCGCAAGCCUGAUGCAGCGACGCCGCGUGGGGGAUGACGGCCUUCGGGUUGUAAACUCCUUUCGCUAGGGACGAAGCUGUUUGUGACGGUACCUAGAUAAGAAGCACCGGCUAACUACGUG